This 447-nucleotide ribosomal RNA is filed under the name Picardiella sp. 2 BFS-2018. Its description in RNAcentral is "partial 16S large subunit ribosomal RNA". Lineage: Eukaryota; Metazoa; Arthropoda; Insecta; Hymenoptera; Ichneumonidae. The record is from RNAcentral.
UAUUUAAAUAGCUGCVGUWUCCUAACUGUACAAAGGUAGCMCAAUCAAUAGUUUUUUAAUUAAAAGCUGGAAUGAACGAUUUGAUAAGGUAAAUAUUGUCUCAAUUUUAAUAAAAUUAGAAUUUUUUUUUUUGUAAAAAUACAAAAUUGUUUUUAAAAGACGAGAAGACCCUAUAGAAUUUUAUAUUUUAAAUUUAAAAAUAUUUUAUUUAAUUAAUAAAUUUUAAAUUAAAAAUAUUAGGUUGGGGAAAUUAUUAAAUUAGUUGAAUUUUAAUAAAUAUAAAACUAAAAUUAUAGAAAAUUAGACCUUUAUUAUAAAAAUUAAUAGAAAAAAUUACCUUAGGGAUAACAGCGUAAUUUUUUUGGAGAGAUCAUAUUGAUAAAAAAGGUUGCGACCUCGAUGUKGAAUUAAGAWAUAAAUUUUWWKGWAGAAGUUAAAAAUUUUUGG